AUGGUGGGAGCUGUGUGCUCGUUCCCCUGUCCCAGCGUCCCGGGCUGCCGUGAUGGCCAUCCCUGCCGUGAGGAGGAGCGGCAGAGAUCCCCCGCACCCCCGGGAGCCCGCGGGCAGACACCGACCCUGCUCCGGGCUGGCGGCUAUCGCUGGGGGAGGCUAUCUCGUCCAGGACUACGUUUCCCAGCGGCUCCUCCCGGGGCUGCACAUGCUCGAUGCGGCUCCCGGCUCCUCCCGGCAGCUCCCGGCGCGGCGCCCGGUGCGGCGCAGGGGCGGUCGGUGCGGUUCCCGGUUCUCGUUCCCGGUGCGGCUCCCGGUGCGGCUCCCGGUACCAUCGGCGGCGCGGCGCUGCCCGGGGCGGUUCCCGAUUCCCGGGGCGGUUCCCGGUUCCAGGGGCGGUUCCCGGUGCCACCCCCGGCGGGGCAUCCUCCCGGUGCGCCCUCGGGAGAGCACGGCCGAGCCCCGCCGCCGCCCCGGGCCCGAGCGCCCCCGGGCCCCGCGGGCCGGCAGCAUGCCCCGCGGGCGAGCCUGGACGCAGGCGGAGGUCAGCAGCCUCCUGUCGCUGGUGGGGGGCUCGGGGGAGGCCGCACUGCUCAUGGCCUCCACGUCGCGACCCAACGAGGCGCUCUGGCGGGAGAUCUCCCGGGGUCUGGCGGCGGCCGGCUACGGGCGCAGCGUGGCCCAGUGCCGCUCCAAGUGGAAGGCGCUCAAGCAGGCUUUCCACUCGGAGCGGGAGACGCGCCGGAGGGCAGGACACCACUCGCCCCGGCUGCCGCCGCACUAUCGAGCCAUGAAGAGCAUCUGGAAGGCGGCCGGACGGCCCGUCUUCGGCGAACGGAGGAUGCCAGACGUGGUGAAGCUGCCCUCCAGAAAGCGCAGGUCAGCCCUUGCCACACGCUCUCCAUCCUCAUCAGAGACACCAGAGCAGGACGUUGGCGGGGACACCCCCUGCACACUGCUGUCUCCGAUGCUGCAGCGUGCGAAGGACGAGCCAGACACUCUUUCAAGUGGAUGUGGGAUUCUCCUUCUCUUCCAGUCCUAGUCUGUUGUGUAGCGUUGCUGCGCGCUGCUCCGCCGCUGCUGCCUUCCAGCCCAGAGGUGGCUGCAUUGCAGUGGUGGCAGCUGGUGGGGACCACAUUACAGGAGUGCAACCCACACCCCCUGCCAUGCCACACGCCGAUUGCUGCUUCCCUCCCCUCUCCCUCCUGGGCUGUCACACUGACCCGAAACAGGAAGGAUUUGAGGGGAAGGCCGGUUCUGUGA
Molecule: long non-coding RNA, 1263 nt
Organism: Parus major (Great Tit)
Lineage: Eukaryota; Metazoa; Chordata; Aves; Passeriformes; Paridae
Source: Ensembl